Molecule: transfer RNA, 66 nt
Filed under: Reticunassa festiva
Lineage: Eukaryota; Metazoa; Mollusca; Gastropoda; Neogastropoda; Nassariidae
Description: Nassarius festivus tRNA-Phe
Rfam family: tRNA
About the family: Transfer RNA (tRNA) molecules are approximately 80 nucleotides in length. Their secondary structure includes four short double-helical elements and three loops (D, anti-codon, and T loops).
Source: RNAcentral
GCAUUGAUAGCUUAAUUUAGAGCAUAGCACUGAAGAUGCUAGGGUGGCGAUCUACGCCUCAAAGCA